GGGUUGUGAGGUUAAGCGACUAAGCGUACACGGUGGAUGCCCUGGCAGUCAGAGGCGAUGAAGGACGUGCUAAUCUGCGAAAAGCGCCGGCGAGGUGAUAUGAACCCUUGACCCGGCGAUGUCCGAAUGGGGAAACCCAGUGUGAUUCGUCACACUAUCGUUAACUGAAUACAUAGGUUAACGAGGCGAACCGGGGGAACUGAAACAUCUAAGUACCCCGAGGAAAAGAAAUCAACCGAGAUUCCCCCAGUAGCGGCGAGCGAACGGGGAGCAGCCCGGAGUCUGAAUCAGCUUGUGUGUUAGUGGAACGGUCUGGAAAGUCCGACGGUACAGGGUGAUAGUCCCGUACACGAAAGCACACUUGCUGUGAACUCGAAGAGUAGGGCGGGACACGUGGUAUCCUGUCUGAAUAUGGGGGGACCAUCCUCCAAGGCUAAAUACUCCUGACUGACCGAUAGUGAACCAGUACCGUGAGGGAAAGGCGAAAAGAACCCCGGCGAGGGGAGUGAAAAAGAACCUGAAACCGUGUACGUACAAGCAGUGGGAGCACCUUCGUGGUGUGACUGCGUACCUUUUGUAUAAUGGGUCAGCGACUUAUAUUCUGUAGCAAGGUUAACCGUAUAGGGGAGCCGAAGGGAAACCGAGUCUUAACUGGGCGUUAAGUUGCAGGGUAUAGACCCGAAACCCGGUGAUCUAGCCAUGGGCAGGUUGAAGGUUGGGUAACACUAACUGGAGGACCGAACCGACUAAUGUUGAAAAAUUAGCGGAUGACCUGUGGCUGGGGGUGAAAGGCCAAUCAAACCGGGAGAUAGCUGGUUCUCCCCGAAAGCUAUUUAGGUAGCGCCUCGUGAACUCAUCUUCGGGGGUAGAGCACUGUUUCGGCUAGGGGGCCAUCCCGGCUUACCAACCCGAUGCAAACUACGAAUACCGAAGAAUGUUAUCACGGGAGACACACGGCGGGUGCUAACGUCCGUCGUGAAGAGGGAAACAACCCAGACCGCCAGCUAAGGUCCCAAAGUCAUGGUUAAGUGGGAAACGAUGUGGGAAGGCACAGACAGCCAGGAUGUUGGCUUAGAAGCAGCCAUCAUUUAAAGAAAGCGUAAUAGCUCACUGGUCGAGUCGGCCUGCGCGGAAGAUGUAACGGGGCUAAACCAUGCACCGAAGCUGCGGCAGCGACACUAUGUGUUGUUGGGUAGGGGAGCGUUCUGUAAGCCGUUGAAGGUGUGCUGUGAGGCAUGCUGGAGGUAUCAGAAGUGCGAAUGCUGACAUAAGUAACGAUAAAGCGGGUGAAAAGCCCGCUCGCCGGAAGACCAAGGGUUCCUGUCCAACGUUAAUCGGGGCAGGGUGAGUCGACCCCUAAGGCGAGGCCGAAAGGCGUAGUCGAUGGGAAACAGGUUAAUAUUCCUGUACUUGGUGUUACUGCGAAGGGGGGACGGAGAAGGCUAUGUCAGCCGGGCGACGGUUGUCCCGGUUUAAGCAUGUAGGCGGAGGUUCCAGGUAAAUCCGGUACCUUAUUAACGCUGAGGUGUGAUGACGAGGCACUACGGUGCUGAAGUGAUAAAUGCCCUGCUUCCAGGAAAAGCCUCUAAGCAUCAGGUAACACGAAAUCGUACCCCAAACCGACACAGGUGGUCAGGUAGAGAAUACCAAGGCGCUUGAGAGAACUCGGGUGAAGGAACUAGGCAAAAUGGUGCCGUAACUUCGGGAGAAGGCACGCUGAUGUGUAGGUGAAGCCCCUGCGGGCGGAGCUGAAAUCAGUCGAAGAUACCAGCUGGCUGCAACUGUUUAUUAAAAACACAGCACUGUGCAAACACGAAAGUGGACGUAUACGGUGUGACGCCUGCCCGGUGCCGGAAGGUUAAUUGAUGGGGUUAGCUGUAAGGCGAAGCUCUUGAUCGAAGCCCCGGUAAACGGCGGCCGUAACUAUAACGGUCCUAAGGUAGCGAAAUUCCUUGUCGGGUAAGUUCCGACCUGCACGAAUGGCGUAAUGAUGGCCAGGCUGUCUCCACCCGAGACUCAGUGAAAUUGAACUCGCUGUGAAGAUGCAGUGUACCCGCGGCAAGACGGAAAGACCCCGUGAACCUUUACUAUAGCUUGACACUGAACACUGGUCCUUGAUGUGUAGGAUAGGUGGGAGGCUUUGAAGCGUGGACGCCAGUCUGCGUGGAGCCGCCCUUGAAAUACCACCCUUUAAUGGCUGGUGUUCUAACGUAGACCCGUAAUCCGGGUUGCGGACAGUGUCUGGUGGGUAGUUUGACUGGGGCGGUCUCCUCCCAAAGAGUAACGGAGGAGCACGAAGGUUGGCUAAUCCUGGUCGGACAUCAGGAGGUUAGUGCAAUGGCAUAAGCCAGCUUGACUGCGAGCGUGACGGCGCGAGCAGGUGCGAAAGCAGGUCAUAGUGAUCCGGUGGUUCUGAAUGGAAGGGCCAUCGCUCAACGGAUAAAAGGUACUCCGGGGAUAACAGGCUGAUACCGCCCAAGAGUUCAUAUCGACGGCGGUGUUUGGCACCUCGAUGUCGGCUCAUCACAUCCUGGGGCUGAAGUAGGUCCCAAGGGUAUGGCUGUUCGCCAUUUAAAGUGGUACGCGAGCUGGGUUUAGAACGUCGUGAGACAGUUCGGUCCCUAUCUGCCGUGGGCGCUGGAGAAUUGAGGGGGGCUGCUCCUAGUACGAGAGGACCGGAGUGGACGCAUCACUGGUGUUCGGGUUGUCAUGCCAAUGGCACUGCCCGGUAGCUAAAUGCGGAAGAGAUAAGUGCUGAAAGCAUCUAAGCACGAAACUUGCCCCGAGAUGAGUUCUCCCUGAGACUUUAAGUCUCCUGAAGGAACGUUAAAGACGAUGACGUUGAUAGGUCGGGUGUGUAAGCGCAGCGAUGCGUUGAGCUAACCGAUACUAAUGAACCGUGAGGCUUAACCUUACAACGCCGAAGGUGUUU
RNAcentral lists this ribosomal RNA (2932 nucleotides) under Enterobacter hormaechei. RNAcentral describes it as "23S ribosomal RNA". It matches the Rfam family "Bacterial large subunit ribosomal RNA". Lineage: Bacteria; Pseudomonadati; Pseudomonadota; Gammaproteobacteria; Enterobacterales; Enterobacteriaceae. The record is from RNAcentral.